Molecule: ribosomal RNA, 301 nt
Filed under: uncultured bacterium
Lineage: Bacteria
Description: partial 16S ribosomal RNA
Rfam family: Bacterial small subunit ribosomal RNA
Source: RNAcentral
CAGUAGCCGCGGUAAUACGGAGGGUGCAAGCGUUAAUCGGAAUUACUGGGCGUAAAGCGCACGCAGGCGGUCUGACAAGUCAGAUGUGAAAUCCCCGGGCUUAACCUGGGAACUGCAUUUGAAACUGUCAGGCUGGAGUCUUGUAGAGGGGGGUGGAAUUCCAGGUGUAGCGGUGAAAUGCGUAGAGAUCUGGAGGAAUACCGGUGGCGAAGGCGGCCCCCUGGACAAAGACUGACGCUCAGGUGCGAAAGCGUGGGGAGCAAACAGGAUUAGAGACCCCGGUAGUCCCUGUCUCUUAUAA